GCAUAUUACCGAAACUGUGGAUGCGUAAGCAUGGUAGGAUAGCGUAAUUAACGCGAUGAAGGAUGACCGUAAGGACAUGUUGGAGCGUUAACUAGUGAGAAUUCCGGUAUGAGUAGCGAAAGAUAGGUGAGAAUCCUAUCCACCGAAUGAGUAAGGUUUCCCCCGGAAGGCUCGUCCGCGGGGGGUUAGUCGGGACCUAAGGCGAGGCUGAAAAGCGUAGUCGAUGGACAACAGGUUGAUAUUCCUGUACCGAUAUUUAAUUGCCGAAGGAAGGACGCAGAAGGAUAACACAGGCCACUAUUGGAUGUGGUUUUAAACAGUUAGUCUUCAUAAGAGUCAAAUGCUUUUAUGUUUAAGGAUAAGCUGUGAAUGUACCAAGUUUACUUGGAAAUUGUGUGAUUUCACGCUGCUGAAAAAAGUUUCGUAGGAAGAAAAUAUUGCCCGUACCGCAAACCGACACAGGUACUCGAGUGGAGAACACUAAGGUGAGCGAGUGAACUAUUGUUAAGGAACUCUGCAAAAUGAGUCCGUAACUUCGGAAGAAGGACUGCUGGUUUUAUACCAGCCGCAGCAAAUAGGCCCAAACAACUGUUUAUCAAAAACACAGGUUUCUGCAAAAUCGUAAGAUGAAGUAUAGGGGCUGACGCCUGCCCAGUGCUGGAAGGUUAAAAGGAGGACUUAGCUUCGGCGAAGGUCUUAAUUGAAGCCCCAGUGAACGGCGGCCGUAACU
Molecule: ribosomal RNA, 730 nt
Filed under: Oenococcus oeni
Lineage: Bacteria; Bacillati; Bacillota; Bacilli; Lactobacillales; Lactobacillaceae
Description: bacterial LSU rRNA
Rfam family: Bacterial large subunit ribosomal RNA
Source: RNAcentral